GACGAGGGACCCUAGCGUUGUUCGGAAUCAUUGGGCGUAAAGCGGGUGUAGGUGGCUUUGUAAGUCAGGUGUGAAAGCCUGGGGCUCAACCCCAGAAGUGCAUUUGAUACUGCGAAGCUUGAGUGCCGGAGAGGUUACCAGAAUUCCAGGUGUAGUGGUGAAAUACGUAGAUAUCUGGAGGAAUACCGGAGGCGAAGGCGGGUAACUGGCCGGACACUGACACUCAGACCCGAAAGCGUGGGGAUCAAACAGG
RNAcentral lists this ribosomal RNA (253 nucleotides) under uncultured bacterium. Its description in RNAcentral is "partial 16S ribosomal RNA". It matches the Rfam family "Bacterial small subunit ribosomal RNA", at positions 524 to 776 of the family's 1533-position model. The record is from RNAcentral.